Long non-coding RNA from Oreochromis niloticus (Nile tilapia), 3160 nucleotides. Lineage: Eukaryota; Metazoa; Chordata; Actinopteri; Cichliformes; Cichlidae. The record is from Ensembl.
AUGCUUAAGUGCAUUUUUGUUCUUUGUCUUUGUUUUAGUAAGGGAGCCGCUUCUUUGUCUCGUUAUUAUGCUCUCAAGCUACCCCAGCUUGCCCCUGUGCCACCUUCAUUCCCCACCAUAACCACUCAGAGCCCACCCUCCCACAGCAGCCUGUUGGCCAGCCUCAGCACCCCAGCUGGGAUUACAGCGUACCAGUCUUACCCAUGGGGCAACAUGUGCAGUCAGCCAGCCAUGCACCAGCGUACUCAGUGCCCUCCUGCUUACCCUGGCAGCUUGGGACCUGGUCGAGAGCACCAGCCUACCUCUUCCACCAUCUUCCCUCUUCCUUCGUUCUUCCCUGGGGAGGACCAGGAGUCGUUGCAUGCAAAUUCCCAGGAUCCUUCACUCAACCAGACUUUCACAAGCAGCACCACCAGCACUACCACCGUCCUGCCACCUGUGUCAACGCUCCUGCCCUCUUGCCUCAGGGUGGAGGAUACUCCAGCCAGGAGUCAUUGCUAAUGCCCUCGCAGGUAACGCAGCCUCUCCAUAAAGCCCUGCAGUGCCCUCUUGUGUCAAAAUUGAUUAUGACAGUCCUAGAGAGAUCCACAGCCACUUCCACUGCGACUUUUCUCCCAUACAUUUUUGAAUUUAAGUGUGUGUGAGCAUGUGUGCAUGUGUUUCAACUGUCUAUGUAAAUAUAAUGUGUGUGAAUUUCUAAAUUUCCUGUUUUUAUUACUAUUAGGAUGUUCUCAGCCGAAAUGUGAAAGCCACCAGGCUGGAGUUUGCUGGCUACAAUAAAUGCUCAUUGCGCGGUUAAUCAUUUAUUUAUUUGCAUUUAACUUCCUUUUAUAAUAUAAAACAACAAUUGAAGAAUAUUUUAGUUUUUGUCUUUUGAUGUCCCUUUUAAAGACAGUUUGUUUUUGCUCAAAUUGUAGCUUAUUUCAGGUACCUCAGAAAAGAUAUCUUGGUACCAGUUUAGAAAUCAGAACGAGAUGUGAAGAAACACUACACUGAAAAAUAACAUCACUGACUCUGUAUUUUUUUUUUUUUUUUUUUUAAAUUGGCUAAAGAAUUAAUCAGGGACAUUCAAGUCUGGGCUUUAGUCACAUGUUCCAGGGGAAGUCAGGUGACCGAAAGGAGAUCACAGGUACGCGAUUUGGGGAUGCUCAGACGCCACUAUUUAUACUAGCGCCCCCUAAUGUGCCAGACUGAAAGUAGGUUGAACCAAGACAUAAUAUUCAGCCUGCCACAUACAGAUGAAUUAGUUAUAUAUCAACUCACAUACAAUUACACCAUGUAAGGUAAAAUCAUAAAGAAAACAACUCAUUUUCUCUGUAUAAUUACUUAGUACUCAGAACUUCUAGGCUUAGUGUUGACUAAUGAAAGAAAGUUGAUAUAAUCAAUUAACAAGGUAAAGGAAUCUGAUGCAAGUAAUUAAUUGUCAGAUUAUUAUGAAGUGGAGACUCUUAAGUGUUGUUGGUGUGCAUGUGGCUUAAUUCACACCUAAUUAAAACACAAAAGUUAAAAUCUUGAGGAACAUACAUGUCUUUUGGUAGAUUUAACUGAAUAACCAUACAAAGAUCCCCCUUGCUUUAUAUUGAGAAGACACCGAUUGUGAGCAUCUUUGGUAUAUGGAAUGGUCACAUGCCCUAAAUAUGUCUUUACUGUUUCCCUUUUGUGUUACAGACAGAAGAAAUGGAUGUCACAGUUCCUACAGAUGACCAGGACAUCCAACUCCCUCAUCUGGACAGAAGUAAAAGUGUUUCUGCUUUUAUCAUUUCAAUUUUGGCUUAGAACAAUAAAAAAGAAAAAAGACAAAAAAAAGCUUAAAGGCUGAGUCACAAAAAAUGUUCAAGACACCCUUGAAGUAAAAACAAAGUUCUUUAUCUUUUAGCUAAAUAAGGCUUUGCUUUUAAGAAAAUUAAAGCAUUUGUUAAUGUCUGUGUUCUAAAUGUCAAAUAAAAAAGGUAUUUCAGAUCUGUGGACUUGUGUUUCUGAAGAUUAAAUAGCAAUGCAUUAAAAAAAACGGAUUUUAUUUUUUUAAUUUUAGUCUUUUUAUUCAUAAUUUUUGGUAUCUGGAGCAGGUAACUAGUACUUUAAGAAAUAUGGCCUUCUGUGCAAGCAUUGGGUCAAAAAUAAAUCUUCGUAUUAAGAUAUAAUACAAUACAAUUUUAUUUAUAUAGCACAUUUAAAAAACCACAGGUAUGCCAAAGUGCUUCACAGAACGAGUUAAGAGGAAUAAUAAAUACGAAUACAAAACACAAAAUACAAAAUACAAAUAAAAUAUGCUAACAGGCGGGUGACAUAACUAACCAAUAAUAUAGUAGGCACAACCCGAAAGGCUGAAGGUUCAAACAUUCUAAACAUUAAUAAAGCGAAAAAGAUAAGUUACAGUACACUAAAAAUGUGGGCUCUAAGAGGCGGGGAAAGCAAGGCUAAACAAAUAAGUUUUUAAUCGAGAUUUAAAAGAUUGAAUUGAAUCAGAAGCCCGAAUAGCUAGAGGGAGGUUAUUCCUGAGGUAGGGUGCAACAGCUGCGAAUGCGCAGUCACCUCUGGUCUUGAGCCAAGAUCUAGGUCGCACCAGGAGCAUUUGGCCUCCUGAUCUGGCCUAAAGGUCAGAGGAAAAUAUGUAAACUUGGAUUUGGGAUUAAGUUUCCCUUCAACCUGAAUUAUCAUUCCUUUGUGAGGCCCUGAUGAAUGAUUACAAUCAGAAUACUUUAUUAAUCCCAAAGGAAAUGAUCUCAAACCGGACCAGCUUAAAUUCUUUGAUAUCUGGAUGAUCAAGCCGCGAUGCAGUCUCCCCACCUCCAUCAUGGCUGAAAAGUUUCGUUACAUUUGCUUAGAACCCUCUGUUAACAUUAGUUAUUUUUAAAAGUAAAAAUAACUAAGCCACUGGAAGAGAGGAGGACAAAGCUUGUCCACCAAAACUCCUUCAGUUGUUGGGUCGGUUAUGUAAAGUAGCUGCAAAUUUGACCUCAAUAAAAUUUGUGGCUUUCAUGGCAUUACAAACAUUGGUUUUUAACGGAUUUUCCUACAUAUGAGGAAGUGUUUACAGAAGAAUGAAAUCUUUGUUCAGCUCAGCGAACCUUCACACUGCAGGUUGAGAAAGUAAAAUUACAUAGAAACCAAACUACAGUAUCCCUGUCUAAUCUUGCUUUCUAAUUGCUUGGUUUUUAUC